AGUGAACUUCGUUUGAAGUGAAAAUCCUUUAUUGUGCGGCGUAGCGAAACAAUAAAGAUUGGAACGGAAAGCGCGGGCCAGG
Molecule: small RNA, 82 nt
Filed under: Flavobacterium caeni
Lineage: Bacteria; Pseudomonadati; Bacteroidota; Flavobacteriia; Flavobacteriales; Flavobacteriaceae
Description: Flavo-1 RNA
Rfam family: Flavo-1 RNA
Source: Rfam by way of RNAcentral